UACAAUUUCGUGGAGUUUAAUUUCACGCCAGGCCAACAAAUGUCCAUGGCACAGCUGUUUUUGACAAAUCCAGUAAUCAUAUUUCAUCCCCCGAUACUCUCGGGGGCGGCCAUCUACUGUGAGUAUUCAACGUUUCCGAACGACAGAGAUAUAUUUUUGCGCGGCAAAUUUCAGCGACGAUUUUUUUUUUCAGCACAAACGCGGGUUUAUGCUUCAAUCGCGAUUUCUUUUUUUUUUCCUUUCUUUUUCUGCGUUCCCUUCUCUUCCCCUAUAUGCGACAUACGAAUGAAACGAGGAUAGCGGACCUGCGUUAACCUCGUUAGUAUUCCCGAUAGUAAGAGGAAGUUCCGCGAGGAGAACGUCAUCCAAAACCCCAUCGUCCUUUGUUAAGAUUUAAGCAAGUAGCUAGCGACGGCGCGAUAAAUUUUGAUUACGUGGUCGAGACUUCCGAAAGGGUUGAGAGAGAGAGAGAGAGAGAGAGAGAGAGAGAGAGAGAGAGAGAAAGAGAGAGAGAGAGAGAGCGUGCGCAAGCUUCUCGCUCCCCUGGUAUCCACCAAAAUGGCCCGGAAUAAUUAGGAUCGAAGGAGGAAAAUAUCUAAGCCUGUCACGUAGCCCGACAAAGGAGUCGCUGCGACUUGAGCUAGGGUGGUCCUCGAAGAAGGGAAGUUUCACGAUUCCUGCCCCAAACGUAGAGGUUCAAAUCAUCUACGUUUCAUCGAAGUUCACAUAUAUGCACACGUGCAACAGAUACUACACUAACACGUUACAAGGGAAACAGGAACUUCCGCUUGUACGAUUCCCGGAACGAACGACAUAAAGGAUGAGCGUUACUUACGCUCGCUCAGUUCGAGCGCACCACAACAAGGCAUCUUCGUAUAUUAUUGCGGAUUGUGCACUAUCUCGCGGAUAAAUGGAGAUAUAGGAGAGGAAAA
Long non-coding RNA from Acromyrmex echinatior (Panamanian leafcutter ant), 932 nucleotides. RefSeq lists it as uncharacterized. The record is from RefSeq and is a predicted model, not a curated record. NCBI's taxonomy places the organism in Eukaryota, Metazoa, Arthropoda, Insecta, Hymenoptera, Formicidae.